GUGAUGCAAGGAAAAUGCCGUUUGCUCUCCCUGUGUCGAUACUGGUUGGGUGUCUCUGUAUGGAUGCUUUCUUGUGUGGAAAAUUUUAACACGGUCCCAAAUCUUGUAGUAUCAGCUUCUUGAAAUUGUAUUCACAUUUUGAUCUUUUUCCUCACACUAUCUUCGGUUUUAUUCAUAAAACCCUGUUUGCUGUAUUUGGCUAUUCCUAGUUUUACUUUCUCUGACACGUUAGUAUGGCAGCUCAACUGUCUUUCUUUCAGCCAACUAAAACACUUCUUUCUGGGAGUAAUUUGAAUACAGUUAUUUGAUCUUUUUAAGACCCAUGUGUUUAGAAACUGUGUGAAGAGCUUGAUACAGAAGAGAAACAUCUCCUUUGAGCUAGUGUCCUGGAAAAUUCUGUUACAAUUCUGUGCCCCCUAGUGGUGCUGACGUUUUACCAGAACCUAUUCAAAGUGGAGUUGAGAAAGCAUCUUUCAUGAAUCUCCCAAAAACCAGUCAUGUCUCCAGCAAGCACUCGUCAGUCGUGGGUGCUGUGCUCGCUGGAGAGCUGCGGGAUGAAGGACGGUCCUGAGGCCGGCCAAGUGCCUGGCCUGGUGGGGGGAUAAAUGGACAUGUGAUUACACUGUGUGAGGAGUUCACAGGGGUUGUGUCCAGGACGUUGUGGGAACUGCAGAGGGUUUCCUGAAGAAUGCAAUGGCUGAGCCAAGUCCUGAGAAAUAACUGGCCUUUGGUGAAGAUGUGAGAGCCGGGUAUUCGAAGAGGAAACAUUGGAGAAAAUGUAAAUUUUGAGAGCUGAUCACCCCUUGGGACUGAUAAGUAGUUGGAUUCCACUGGAGCCCAGGGUGCUUUUGAAGGUGUGAUGGUGAGGAGGUGGGUGGAGAAGAAAGCAGGGACUCCACAGCUGAGAGUGUCAGCCGGAACUGCAGAUUCUGUCCUGACUGACAUCGGGAGCUGCUGAGGAAUGCUAAGCGAGAAACUCCACGUGUUGCUAUUUCCACUUUCAGAAAAACACAUGGCAUUAGUUCAGUUUAAUGAACAAACAGUGUGGAUUGAGCACCGAUGCAUGGUUCACACUGUUUCAAGCUGGGAGUUCAAAGAUGAAGUGUCUGUGUUGGAGGUUAGUGACAGCUGCCAAUCUGUGGACGGAUGUCGACCCAGCCUGCAGCUCUCAGGCACCAUUGUCUGGUGGGUGGUGCUGCCAUUCACUGAACUGGGAGAGACAUCUGGGAAGGCCAUUGGGGAAGGGGCAGGCAUGGAGUUCAAUUUUGUGUUAAGUUUGGCAUGCCUGUUGAGACAGUCCAAUGACAUGUCCAGUUGUAUAUGUGGAUCUGCAGCUCAAGAAGGAGCUAGGAUUCUAAAUUUGAGAAUCAACAGCCUAGAUACAUACAUUAUAUGUAUAUAUCAGAUGAAAGUGAUAGCGGAGAUCAGAUUACCUGGGAAAAUAGGUAGAUUGGCUUAAAAAGGAAGAGGCCUGUGGAUCCACCCCUGAUAGUCAGGAGCCUUCAGGUGUGGAAGCAAGGAGAGGGAGGGAGAUGAAAAGAGCGAGCUGGGUAAGCACUGAGAGUCACUGCCACAGGAGCCGGAAAGAGCUUCAGUGGGCAUGCUGGAGAGAGAGCGCAUGAGAUGAGAAUUUUGGAUUUGGCAACAAGGAGGUCAUUUGAGGAAGCAGUUGUUGCCUCUGAUUUUUGUUUUCUUGCAGAAUUGUGGAAAUAGAAAUCGGGUCAGAGUGGGCAGGAAAGAAGAGAAGAUGAGGGAGUGGAGAUAGUGAUUCUAGGGUUGUAGACAUCUGAAUUAAGGAAGGUUCUAAGAAGACACAGGCCCUCCCACAGCCCCUCCCACAGCCUCUCCCACAGGUCCUCCCACAGCCCCUCCCACAGCCCCUCCCACAGCCUCUCCCACAGGCCCUCCCACAGGUCCUCCCACAGCCUCUCCC
RNAcentral lists this long non-coding RNA (1933 nucleotides) under Equus asinus (donkey). RNAcentral's name for it is "lncRNA (ENSEASG00005038450.1)". Lineage: Eukaryota; Metazoa; Chordata; Mammalia; Perissodactyla; Equidae. The record is from RNAcentral.